GGACGAAAGUCUGACCGAGCAACGCCCGCGUGAGUGAAGAAGGUUUUCGGAUCGUAAAACUCUGUUGUUAGAGAAGAACAAGGAUGAGAGUAACUGUUCAUCCCUUGACGGUAUCUAACCAGAAAGCCACGGCUAACUACGUGCCAGCAGCCGCGGUAAUACGUAGGUGGCAAGCGUUGUCCGGAUUUAUUGGGCGUAAAGCGAGCGCANGCGGUUUCUUAAGUCUGAUGUGAAAGCCCCCGGCUCAACCGGGGAGGGUCAUUGGAAACUGGGAGACUUGAGUGCAGAAGAGGAGAGUGGAAUUCCAUGUGUAGCGGUGAAAUGCGUAGAUAUAUGGAGGAACACC
Molecule: ribosomal RNA, 346 nt
Filed under: uncultured bacterium
Lineage: Bacteria
Description: bacterial SSU rRNA
Rfam family: Bacterial small subunit ribosomal RNA
Source: RNAcentral